Molecule: non-coding RNA, 46 nt
Organism: Podiceps cristatus (great crested grebe)
Lineage: Eukaryota; Metazoa; Chordata; Aves; Podicipediformes; Podicipedidae
Source: Rfam
UACAUGGUUCUUCUAAGAACCACACACACUUUUUUUCUAACAUCUU